This is a long non-coding RNA of Ostrea edulis (European flat oyster), 5217 nucleotides long. RefSeq lists it as uncharacterized. Lineage: Eukaryota; Metazoa; Mollusca; Bivalvia; Ostreida; Ostreidae. The transcript is spliced from 8 exons. The record is from RefSeq and is a predicted model, not a curated record.
UUUUAAUGGUUAUUACUGUGGAAAAGAAUGUGUUAACAAUCUUUGAAACAUUCGGGUAUCGAACUCAGGACCCCCACAUUACUAGUUAUGUGAUUUAACUAUUUAGCUACCCGACCAAUACACAAAAAAUGGUAGUUUUACUACAAUAUAAAAUUUCAACAUCUUUUGGAAAACUCGCACAAGAACUCUUCAUAUCAAGGAGAUGAAAAAAAUGAUUCAAGAUAAAAUAUCAGAAAUGUCACAUGUAUCCUUAAUAUCAAAGAAUGAUUGAAGAGCUCAUGAUCUUGAUCUGAACAAUUUGAAUAAUGCUCGGGAUGUCUAUGUUUUUGUCUCGGGCUCGUGAUUCUGUCGAUAUUAUGUCUUGUUUAUUUUCUGUUUGUACUGAGAUUCUUCGUGAUGUGUUUUAUACCAUUCAUUCCUGUUAUGUAGGAUGUUAUCUACUUAGAGACUGGUGUGGAGGACGGCACCUACCCUUACACAUGAACAUUGAUUGAAGCUGUCUGGUACAUUAUCAGUAGAGUACAGCGCACUGUACGCCCGAUCAGAGAAGUUUGUCGAAAAAGUAGCAGUGAAUAAUAGGAAGGACAUAUUGUGUCACGGUGUUUGAUAAAAGGUGUUGUUCCUCUGGAAACUUUUUUUGAUCGUCUUCUCUGGGAUAGCUGGAAAUAACCUCUCUGAAAUACAAGAAUGGAACAAGUUCUCAUUCUCAGCUGAUCAGGGACUUGUGUCAAGGAGGAGUGUUAGUGCGGAGAAGAAUUUGUCUCGGCCCAUCAUGACCUGCUGGUGGAGGCUGGACACUUCAAUAAACAUUGCUGUGGUUUUCCUGGGGUGUACCAAUCAUUUGUAGUCAUUAUUUCCCACAUGAAGAGUCAGAGGAGUAUUCAUUUUUCUAGUAAUAAGUUGAGACUCUACAGAGCAUGAAGGCAGAUAUUACAGUUACCUGCCUUAGACAAUAUGAAUUGUAAUAUAGCACUUGCUAGUUAUGUAAUUUCAGAUGAUGCUGUUUGAAUGCUUUUAGUCUCGUCACUAGUCACAUUAAGACAUUAGCUAUAACUGCAUAUAUUGCCUUUACAUUAAUUAUCUGCAUAGAACUAAACAUUUAAUAGUAGAUUUCAUGUAGUACUACAUGACUCUCUAGGAAUGCAUUUUAGGUCACCUGAGUCACUCGAGUGACCUAUUGGUAUUGUUCUGCGUCCGUUGUCGUGCAUCGUCCACCUACAAUUGAACAUUUUUAUACACCCGUCUUAGGACGGAUCGUAUUAUGAACAGCAAUGUGUACGUUUGUCAGUCCAUUUGGGGGUUCCUGUUUCUAUUUUUAUUUUUCUAUCAAGUAUUAAACCGUUAUUGUGUAGUUUCUUUAUGGGUCACUCUUGAUCAUGUUUCAGCUUUGACUGAUUUCAGUUUUCAAGUAAGGAUUAAGUUAUUUUACAGUUUUUGUUUUGGAACGAAAGAUGUACGUGUAGGGGAAUGGGUAGUUUAUUCUAGGAGGGACCAAACUUGGCAUGUAGUGUAUAUGUGUAAAACAUUGAAUAUCAUCUUCUUUAAUGUUAUCGAUGGACACCACAAUUAUAAAUUUCAAGAUUCUGGGGUAAGGAUUUGGGUAUCAGAGUGGGACCUGAAUAAUCUUUGUGAUUUAUUGUCUUUCACAUAUCAAAGUACCCUUACUACCGACAAAUGCAUAUAGGAAAAACAAAAAAUGUACAGUAUACCAAAAAAUUGUAAAUCUCACAACCAUAGGUUACACAUCAGGUGUGAGUCAAUAAUUCAAUGCUCCUCUGUAAGGUUCAAGAUCUAGGGCAGGGUUAAUGUAGGAACAUUGUUGUAGAUUUCUUAGUCUUAGUCAUACCUUUAACUAAUAGGCCUUUCCUAAAACGUGAGUUAUCUCUCUUUGUAUUCUUACAUUUAGUGUGAAUAUUUCCAGGUACAUGUAGUUACACAAUCAGACUGCUCAUAUAUUUUAAGAGUUAUAUUAAUAUAGCAUUAUUAGUAUAAAUGCUGUUUAAAAUCGAAAACAGUUGAAAUCAUUUGUACGAGAGAGUAAGAAAAUGUUAAUGGAAACAACAAAGAAUUUCUUGAUCGAGUUGGGUGUGAUUUUUCGGGGUCUGGGGAAUUUUGAAAAUUGAAUAGGAAAUCACGACGGCAUUCAUUUGUUUACAUAUGUCUCCAAUAACGACUGACAUAAUCAUAUUGCUCAAAAGAUGAUGGCAACUCAUCAACUCAAAUUUGGGGUUUUUACUAGGAUCGACACGUCACGUGCAUUGAUCUUGCAUAUCAUGGUACCUCCUCCCCCCUUCUAAAAUGAAUUUUUGAAAAUAUAAAUUAGGAAAUCAGUGUUCUCACUGUUUUACCAGGGCUAAAAUUAUCCCACCACUACCAAUCAACUCUUUCAAAAAUAAACCAGAUUGCAAUUUUGGGUAACUUUCUCCAAAUUAUUCUGUGUGGAAAUCAUUUGCACAUGUGCAACAUGAAGAUUGGAUGGUUAAUAUCAACUGAUAUGUUUAAAAUGCACUAAAAUAGGUAAUUAAAUAAAUUAAAAAAAGCAUUACUUUUGUUCAAUAUUGCUCGAUUGAUAUAAAUUAUUUUCAUAGACAUGUGUGAUCUCGUGGGGGUGGGGGGUAUAGUCCAAAUGUACUCUCUGGGGAAUAGGUAAGUUUAACCCCCAAUAGAAUGUCUUUGACGUCUCUAUCUAAUUCCCUCUUUUAGUCGUUUUAGCCCCCUUCAAAUGUACUUGAUUAUGUAUAGGUACAUAUAGUGUCAUAACAGAAAUUGCAAUGGCAGAUAUAGAUCCCCCUUUUCGCCACAAAUUUACAAAAUAAUUCGAGUACAACUCCAAAAUUGAUAUUUUACCCAAAUGGCUGUAUUUACAGGUACAUACUUUUCCCAACUUAUUUAAUGUAUUGCUAUAAAUUCAGGGGGUUCGACUAUAGUUAUUUUAUUUUCAAAACAUUGCAUGUGUAAAUGUCACUUUAAAGAUGGUUUGUGACAAUGAAUUUCUUUAUGGUUCUACUUGUAUUUGAAACUGUAUAAAGUUUGUGGACAGACAGCUGGAAAUCUGUCAGUGGCCUCUCAUUUACAACUUAGUACAGGCUUGGUUAAAUUUUACUUGCCAAUCGAAGGAGGUGGACAUUUUCAGAAUGCAGUGGUGUCAGUCCGACAUACCUAGAUGUACAUCGUGGCAUAACUUUCAUCGCUGAAUGUACUACAUUAAUAUUGAACAAGUAACAUCUGAUAUUUUAUUAUAAAUCUGACUGCAUUAAAACAUGGGGUAACAAUCCUCAGGAAAUGUAUGCUAUAUAUUGUGAUAUAUACUAAUUUCAGUCAUAAAACACGUGAAAUCCUGGAGGGGGGUAGUUAGAAUAAUCUAAUUGCGUCUCGGGACAGGCCCGUCGUAGGAAAUUGCAUCACUUUAACGAUAGAACAUUCUAAUGGGAAAGGGAUGUCCUCUAUUUACAACAUUUAUUUCUUUUAUUCUUUUUUGCAAAGUUGGUUAUUUUUACGUGUAUGAAGGAAACAUAUGCAUUGUGAUUUUUUAUUAACGUUAAUAUAUUUGUUAGCUUGGUUGCUGUAAAAUUAUUCAGUAAUAUCUUUGCGGCCUUCUGCACCGUUGAUAAUGACGCUUCUCGAAUAUACUACCAGGAAGUCUUGAACUACUGUUAUGCAAGCGCACUACCUUCCGGAUCAAGGGAAGAUAACUCAUGUUUUCAUAUUGGCCUAUACUCAGGUGACCGAUGAGGCCUGUGAGUCUCCGGUUUACAUGUUGUCAUGAAACAGACAACAAGCUGGCUUACCAAACUUGUCUUGAAAAAUACACUGAACAAAAUUUUACUUUCCUGUCUGAUUUCUGGUCAUUCCAGCACUCAUUGCCACCUUGGUUUUUCAGUUUUCUGGGCUUCAAACGAUGGUGAGACAAUGACUGCAGGAUCAUUUCCUGUCUCUUAAAAGCAGAAGUGGCCAGGAUACCUUACCAACCGAUCCAUUUUUAGGGAUGGUGUUUUGUAUCGAGCUGGGUAGCAGUUACUGGAGAUGUCCAGCUGAUUGAUGAGGAUAAUUUCCCCGAUCCGCUGACAUAAUUAGAUAUGAAAAUAUCAACUGCUAUAGAACAUGUCAGCUUUCAGAUUCUUCCCCAAUGUAAACCGCCUUGGAGAAUAGAGCGUUUACUUCGCAUGCGGAAGAUCGGGGCUCGAAUCCCGGCCGCGACAGACCAUAGUCGUUAAAAUAGCCAGUGCCAGUCCUAUCACCAAACUCUCGGCUUCAGGUGUGGAUGUCACGGGUCCUCGGAGAUGACCUUAAAAACGAAUGUCCCGUGUCACAAUUGAAAGAGCAUGGUAAAUAUUUGGAAAUGGUGGGGGCUACUGCGACAGAUUCAUACUCACCAUUGAAGCCUCAUCCAAAAUGUGUAAAAGCCUAAAUCAUGUGACUAUUUGUGCGGGAAUCUACUUGGGACGGUGGAGAUUUAAAUACCUGUUGUGAUGUUAUUGAUUGUAAACAGAAGACGGUGACCUUGGAUCUAAAGAUCACUCUCUGUUAUAGUACAUGUACUACAAAUCUAACAGUGUCUAACUCAGCCACAAAGAGGUUGUCUCUGAUGUCCACACAUAAACCCCAUGGCUCGCGUAAAUCACAGUGAAUGUAACGGAGGAACUGUCCGUCCUGAUCUAGGAUGUGGAUACGGUGAUUGUCACUGUCUGCUGUCAGGAUGUGACUCUGGCUGUCUGUAGUGAUGCCGGCUGGAUUAAAUGAUUGCUUGGUAUUAGAGGGAUGACCAGUGUAUCUAAAUCGGAGUUUUCCUGACUGAUUGACCACCACUACUGCUCUAACGUCACAGUCAGCCACACAGAUAUCCAGGUUCCUGUUCUCACUGAGGUCACCAACAUCUGAGUAGAGAGGACGACCCUGAUCAUCAAACUGAAUGCUUUGUGUCUCUGUGGAGCCGGAGUAACGCACGACUUUGUAUUGUUCUCCAUCAUCACUGAUCAUGGUAACCAGGAGAUUGUUACCCGCGGUACAGCAGACAUAUUGAGGUCCCCACCCCUGUAGUGUGAUCACGAUUGAGUUGAGUGGAAUAAUGAACCUCCAGAUAUCUAUGUACAUUCACACGUGUAUGAUUAAACGUGUGCUGCACUCACACAUGCGAGCUUAUUCUAUAUAACUGUUCGAGUCUUACUUCCUGAAUACUUUCUUGAACUAGUGAAUUAAAAAUUAAAUGAAUUGACUUUC